CAUCUUCCGUCAGUCGAUUGCACAGCUCUGUGAGAGGAGGUUUAGUAGCGAAGCUCGUCAAUAGAAAAUUAAUUAACAUUAACAAUAUGCCUGGCUUAUUUUCUAAAGUUUCAUCCGGUCAGCUGCAUCUUGGUUCUUUGAGUGGUUGGAGAUUUUCAUCCAUUGCCCGGUAUGGUGUGGUGUUGGCAACUCUGGGCCUAUUCUUCACAGAAUGGAAAGUAGUAACACGGAACCUGCCCAUUUACAACUUGAAAUAUGAAAAUUCUGACUACAACUACCUCAGGGAACAGGAUAAGGCUGAGGCUCAGGCCAAGGCUGAAGCUGCUGAAAGAGCAGCUGCCAAGGCAGCGGCUGCAAACUAGACUUUUCAGUGGAGGAUCAUUGCUGCCGAGGAUUUAUCUAUUGUAAAAUGGUGUAAAAUAUAACAUUAAAUUUUA
Molecule: long non-coding RNA, 437 nt
Organism: Hyalella azteca
Lineage: Eukaryota; Metazoa; Arthropoda; Malacostraca; Amphipoda; Hyalellidae
Exons: 3
Source: RefSeq, a predicted model, not a curated record